AUAACGACUCUUGGCAACGGAUAUCUCGGCUCUCGCAUCGAUGAAGAACGCAACGAAAUGCGAUACCUGGUGUGAAUUGCAGAAUCCCGUGAAUCAUCGAGUCUUUGAACGCAAGUUGCGCCCGAGGCCAUUUGGUCUAGGGCACGCCUGCCUGGGUGUCACA
RNAcentral lists this ribosomal RNA (163 nucleotides) under Psittacanthus schiedeanus. Its description in RNAcentral is "5.8S ribosomal RNA". It matches the Rfam family "5.8S ribosomal RNA". From Rfam's summary of the family: 5.8S ribosomal RNA (5.8S rRNA) is a component of the large subunit of the eukaryotic ribosome. The record is from RNAcentral. Lineage: Eukaryota; Viridiplantae; Streptophyta; Magnoliopsida; Santalales; Loranthaceae.